Molecule: unclassified non-coding RNA, 345 nt
Filed under: soil metagenome
Description: partial contains 5.8S ribosomal RNA, internal transcribed spacer 2, and large subunit ribosomal RNA
Rfam family: 5.8S ribosomal RNA (bases 1-120)
Source: RNAcentral
GAUGAAGAACGCAGCGAAAUGCGAUAAGUAAUGUGAAUUGCAGAAUUCCGUGAAUCAUCGAAUCUUUGAACGCACAUUGCGCCCUCUGGUAUUCCGGAGGGCAUGCCUGUCCGAGCGUCAUUGCUGCCCUCAAGCACGGCUUGUGUGUUGGGCCCCGCCCCCCGAUCCCGGGGGGCGGGCCCGAAAGGCAGCGGCGGCACCGCGUCCGGUCCUCGAGCGUAUGGGGCUUUGUCACCCGCUCUGUAGGCCCGGCCGGCGCUUGCCGAUCAACCAAACUUUUUUCCAGGUUGACCUCGGAUCAGGUAGGGAUACCCGCUGAACUUAAGCAUAUCAAUAAGCGGAGGA